UACAGAGGGGCAAGCGUUAUUCGGAAUUAUUGGGCGUAAAGGGCGCGUAGGCGGUCGUGACAAGUCACUUGUGAAAUCUCCGGGCUUAACUCGGAACGGUCAAGUGAUACUGUCGGACUAGAGUACAGAAGGGGCAACUGGAAUUCUCGGUGUAGCGGUGAAAUGCGUAGAUAUCGAGAGGAACACCUGCGGCGAAGGCGGGUUGCUGGGCUGAUACUGACGCUGGAGGAGCGAAAGCGUGGGAGCGAACAGG
RNAcentral lists this ribosomal RNA (253 nucleotides) under uncultured bacterium. RNAcentral describes it as "partial 16S ribosomal RNA". It matches the Rfam family "Bacterial small subunit ribosomal RNA", at positions 524 to 776 of the family's 1533-position model. The record is from RNAcentral.